This 58-nucleotide transfer RNA is filed under the name Dipodomys ordii (Ord's kangaroo rat). It matches the Rfam family "tRNA", at positions 8 to 63 of the family's 71-position model. From Rfam's summary of the family: Transfer RNA (tRNA) molecules are approximately 80 nucleotides in length. Their secondary structure includes four short double-helical elements and three loops (D, anti-codon, and T loops). Lineage: Eukaryota; Metazoa; Chordata; Mammalia; Rodentia; Heteromyidae. The record is from Rfam by way of RNAcentral.
UGGCUCAGUGGUAGAGCGCUUGCCUUGCAUGCAUGAGGUCCUGGGUUCGAUUCCCCAG